This 460-nucleotide ribosomal RNA is filed under the name uncultured bacterium. Its description in RNAcentral is "partial 16S ribosomal RNA". It matches the Rfam family "Bacterial small subunit ribosomal RNA", at positions 338 to 795 of the family's 1533-position model. The record is from RNAcentral.
CCUACGGGAGGCAGCAGUGAGGAAUAUUGGUCAAUGGACGAGAGUCUGAACCAGCCAAGUAGCGUGAAGGAUGACUGCCCUAUGGGUUGUAAACUUCUUUUAUAAAGGAAUAAAACGAGGCACGUGUGCCUUUUUGCAUGUACUUUAUGAAUAAGGAUCGGCUAACUCCGUGCCAGCAGCCGCGGUAAUACGGAGGAUCCGAGCGUUAUCCGGAUUUAUUGGGUGUAAAGGGAGCGUAGAUGGGUUGUUAAGUCAGUUGUGAAAGUUUGCGGCUCAACCGUAAAAUUGCAAUUGAUACUGGCAGUCUUGAGUACAGGUGAGGUAGGCGGAAUUCGUGGUGUAGCGGUGAAAUGCUUAGAUAUCACGAAGAACCCCGAUUGCGAAGGCAGCUUACUAAACUGUGACUGACAUUGAUGCUCGAAAGUGUGGGUAGCAAACAGGAUUAGAUACCCUUGUAGUC